ACCUGAGAAAAGAAUUGGAGACUGUGGUAUGAUGCCAAGAACCUUACGUAGAUCUGUCAAUCCAAAUGUCGCAAUGUCACAAUGAUCGAUCAAGAUUCUUCCUCUUUCAAGCUCAAAAAUCCGGAAUAAUGCAUUCAACAUGCUAGAUUUGCCAGCACCAGUUCUUCCAACCAUGCCAACCUUCUGGCUUGGGGAUAUAGUGAAGGACAGUCCUCGCAGGACAGGAGGAAGUCCAGGUCUGUAACGCAUAAAAAGAUCUUCAAAUUUGAUCAAUCCAGACGAAGGCCAUCCCUGAGGCGGACGGUUUCCCUCAAUAACAUCCGGAGCCUCAGACGGUAAGUCCAUGUACGUGCCCACACGUUCAACAGCAUUUAGACUAUUUUCAGCUUUGCUUGCUUGUCUAAGGACAUUGCUUAGCAAAAUUGUGAUAUUCAAAGAAUAGCUAAGGAGGAGGCCCAUUGUAGAUGCAAAUGCAACCCGAUUUUCUGCUCUUCCAUUUUGUAUAACAGCAAAUGUUGCUGUCAACCAGAUCAUGAUGCCUCCUAAUGUUUCCAGCCUUAUGGUACGCCAGCGGUUUGAACUAAUGCUAACUAAAGUAAACCGCACAUUAUUGUCCAUAGAUUUCCCAUUAACAUUUGCCAUCCUAUCGUAUGCUUUAUAUGCACGAAUUGUUGACAAACCAUUCACUGCUUCUCCAAACUGUGCAUAAACAGGAGACCUACUAAUGGAAUCUAGACGUUUUACUUCACGAGAUGUGUUCUGUAAUUGAUUUUGUUCAUGAGAAUAUGAUCAAGAAUCAUGUAUUGAGAUAUAUCAUGUCAAAAUCAAUGAACUUAUCACUAAGCCAAAGAAAAUUGAGCUAAUCUCUGCACUUAACAGGACAUGUAUGGAUUAAGAACUAUGAAAAAAUUCCCUGUUUUCCUUCCAUAAUGGUCCAUAUUUAUUGUCCCUGCAUUUUAAGGAAUAGAGCCGAAAACGAAAUCAAGGAAAAUCAUGCUUGCAACUGACAAUCAGAAAAAGAGAGAAAUUAAAAGAGAUGGGGAUAAUGAUGAACAGAUGUUACAGACAUAGAAACUGAACAUGUAGAC
RNAcentral lists this long non-coding RNA (1088 nucleotides) under Olea europaea subsp. europaea. The record is from RNAcentral. Lineage: Eukaryota; Viridiplantae; Streptophyta; Magnoliopsida; Lamiales; Oleaceae.